This 404-nucleotide ribosomal RNA is filed under the name uncultured bacterium. Its description in RNAcentral is "bacterial SSU rRNA". It matches the Rfam family "Bacterial small subunit ribosomal RNA", at positions 355 to 774 of the family's 1533-position model. The record is from RNAcentral.
UCGAGAAUCUUCGGCAAUGGGCGCAAGCCUGACCGAGCGAUGCCGCGUGAGGGAAGAAGGCCUUCGGGUCGUAAACCUCUGUCAGGAGGGACGAAAUCUGACGGUACCUCCAGAGGAAGCCACGGCUAACUACGUGCCAGCAGCCGCGGUAACACGUAGGUGGCGAGCGUUAUUCGGAAUCACUGGGCGUAAAGGGUCCGCAGGGGGUCUGCCAAGUCCGGUGUGAAAGCCCGCGGCUCAACCGCGGAAGUGCAUUGGAAACGGGCGGACUUGAGUACAGGAGAGGAGAGCGGAAUUCCCGGUGUAGCGGUGGAAUGCGUAGAUAUCGGGAAGAACACCGAGCAGCGAAGGCAGCUCUCUGGCCUGUCACUGACCCUGAGGGACGAAAGCGUGGGCAGCGAACA